This is a long non-coding RNA of Carassius gibelio (silver crucian carp), 423 nucleotides long. RefSeq lists it as uncharacterized. The transcript is spliced from 3 exons. Lineage: Eukaryota; Metazoa; Chordata; Actinopteri; Cypriniformes; Cyprinidae. The record is from RefSeq and is a predicted model, not a curated record.
CAGAGGCAUAAAGUUGACUGCAGUUUUCCUGAGCUCCAGCUUUUGUUCCUCUGAUGGAAGCACUUGUGGAGCUCGUGUCGUCAUUGUCCCAGCGCCGAGAGUUAAAGACACAGAAGCUGUUUGUGUUAGAGUCGCAGACUGUGUGAGGAGGAGGAGCUGUUCUUCUGAAGAGAGGGACAGACGGGUUUAAGGAGAGUUAACUUCAGACUAACAUCAAGUUAUCUUUAUUUUUACUAAGACUAAAAUAAUGUUUGUUUCUGUAGAUGUUGGAAUUCAGAGACAAGAUAACUUCAUUCUUAUGAGACUGAUAACUCAAACUAACUGGAGUUAAGGGGACAGAAGUCUGCUUGUGUGAGGAGGUGGUUUUCUCAGCAGAAAGAUAAGGCAAGUAGCAGUUUAAGGCAAGUAAACUUCAUAAUGUCA